CCUUCCACACACACACGAUCCCCCAGCCCGAUUCCAACCCACCACGGCCACCUCUCUCCCCCCACGGCCACCUCAAUCCCAUCCCGGUUCCGCCCACCAAGAUCAACCCGUGGAGGCGACCUCCCACCGUCGCCACGGCCCUACCCAGCGUUGGCCCAUCCCGGAUCCACUCCGCUUCAUCCCCGCUACCUUCCCCUAGUGUCAAGGUAGCCAAGAUGUGUGGUGCCCCGGCGACCUCUUGCCCCGAGACGACCAGCGCGCCGCCCCCUACAACCAUCUCCACGCGACACUAGAGCUCCUCUCCACCUCGUGCAUCCGCGCGCGCGGAUCCCCUGCUACCCACGACGGCCUUCUCGCCAUGCCCCGCCUGCUUCAGAUCCAUAGCCAGCCCGGCUCCUGUCCGGCCCCCCUGCUCCGGCGAGCUAUCCUCCCCCUUGCUCUUGAGCCAUGCAAUCCACUUUCACAGCCAAGGGACUUAGCCAUCCCAGGGGCGUCAGGGGCAGCUGGCUUCAAAAAUUGGAGGGGGUUCGGUUAUCUGGGGGGUCCGCGACGAGGGAUCCGAGGCAUCCACCGUGCCGCCAGCCCCGUGCAGCUCGGUUGCCACCCAUGUGCAGCUCGGUCCUCCGCGCACCACCAAUCCCCGCCCACUGUACCUCAUCUUGGUUCAUUGCCUCGCCACCACGUCGGGCUUCCUAGCGGCCUAACCCGCCUUUCCCGGUUAGCCCCGGCGACCACGAGCUCUCCCGGAGCCCCUGUGUCCGGUUGCCGUUGAAGUGACUACAGUAGGAAGCCGCCAGCGAUGGAGCAGAUCCAGGGUCAACGAGCACCGCUGGAUCCAUCUCAGCCGCUCGCUGGCACAGGCAAAUUUUGCAAAUUAUGUUCGGUACCCGUAUUUGCGUUCACUUCGUGCUAUUUCUGCAGUUUAUUUUGUCUCUAUGGUGGCCGGUGUUGAUGCAGUGCACUCUGCGAUACAACGGUGCUUGAUUUUGGAACAAAUGUUCAAUGCGUGCGGUGCAAAAAAAACAAGACAAUUCUUUUGCGGCCGAGCAGUGCAGCUUGCUAUUCGUUGCAGCUCAGUUGGGGCGUCCAUGCAGUGCGCAAGCACUUGAGGAUGAUUGGCAUGCACUUCGGUUUCGGUAGUGCGAAGCUGUUGUAUGGAUGCGUGCUGUAGGAGGUUCUCCAGUUAGAUUACUGCAUUUUACUUGGUGUGGACAGGAGGUUCUCUAGCUGGCCCAUGCAGCGAGCAGUGCAGGUUGCUCUUCGUUGCAGGUCGGUUGGACCAUUGGUGCAGUACCCAAAUAGCUAGUGUUUUCGCUACUGCUUGUACACAUCACAGGUGGUUCACCGGAGCACCCCCUCGCAGCUCUCUCCUUCCCCAACAUGCAGUUCAUCGGCGACGGCCUUCAGUUUGUUUUGGUUGCUCUCGAUGCCAUCCCUACUGAAGUACAAUGUGCCUCAUGAUGGUUUUGUGUGUAUGUCUGUGUUUUGCGUGGUAGCCGGCUUGGGGCCUAUGUUCCUGUACAAUGUAAAAAUAGUAUGAAAAUGAAGUGCACUUCUGUUGUA
This is a long non-coding RNA of Triticum dicoccoides, 1563 nucleotides long. RefSeq lists it as uncharacterized. The record is from RefSeq and is a predicted model, not a curated record. The transcript is spliced from 2 exons. NCBI's taxonomy places the organism in Eukaryota, Viridiplantae, Streptophyta, Magnoliopsida, Poales, Poaceae.